UAAUACGGAGGGUGCAAGCAUUAAUCGGAUUUAUUGGGCGUAAAGGGCGCGUAGGCGGGAAAGUCAGUCAGAUGUGAAAGCCCAGGGCUCAACCCUGGAACAGCAUUUGAAACUACUUUUCUAGAGGGUAGGCGGAGAAAACAGAAUUCCACGUGUAGCGGUGAAAUGCGUAGAUAUGUGGAGGAAUACCGGUGGCGAAGGCGGUUUUCUAGCUUAUUCCUGACGCUAAUGCGCGAAAGCAAGGGGAGCAAACAGG
Molecule: ribosomal RNA, 256 nt
Filed under: uncultured bacterium
Lineage: Bacteria
Description: partial 16S ribosomal RNA
Rfam family: Bacterial small subunit ribosomal RNA
Source: RNAcentral